UGACGUAGUUAUCAGGUGCGGAGAGUGAGUCCGUUUGACUCCUGGCGAGGCAACCGGCCUCACAACUACGUUUGCAAUUUUUUCUCCAGUGAUCCUCCCAAGCUCUGUGCUUCAGCAGCAGGGUCCUUGAACAUGUGAUUCCAAAUGCCGGAAACAUCAGAUGUCACUGUCCAAUCUCUUUUCUCAGCGAAACCUUUCCCGAUUCCUCUAGAUAAGGUUCCCUGAUCAACUGUGCUGACAACACAGGAGCCAAAAAUCUGUAUGUCAUCUCUGUGAAGGGGAUCAAGGGAUGGCUGAACAGACUUCCUUGCUGGUGUGGGUGACAUGGGGAAGGCCACAGUCAAGAAAGACAAACCAGAGCUCAGAGAAAAGGAAUGAAAUUAUUUUGGUAGAGCAGAAUGAGCAGGACAUCACUACAGAGCAUCCCUUGGUGGUCCUGGGGAAUAUUGCACAAGGUGCCUACCUUUGCUUGGGUGUGUGCUCCUGUCAGUUGUGUAAAGCCAAAUGAACUUGAAGCAGAUUGUGUGGUGAUAAUUCAUAUUAUAGACACUUUAGCAUUUACAGUAAGGAUUGGUCUUCUUACUUGCAACUUCUGCUAGUGAUACAAUGUGAGGAUGUGAGAUACCCUUAGUGCUUCAACUUU
This 643-nucleotide long non-coding RNA is filed under the name Cebus imitator (Panamanian white-faced capuchin). RNAcentral's name for it is "lncRNA (ENSCCAG00000038265.1)". The record is from RNAcentral. Lineage: Eukaryota; Metazoa; Chordata; Mammalia; Primates; Cebidae.